AGUAGCGGUGAAAUGCGUAGAUAUCUGGAGGAAUACCAAAGGCGAAGGCAGUCCCCUGGUCCGAUACUGACACUGAGGUACGAAAGCGUGGGGAGCAAACAGGAUUAGAUACCCUGGUAAUCCACGCCCUAAACGAUGUCGAUUAGCCAUUGGAAGGACCCCUUUUCCUUUCAGUGACGUAGCUAACGCGUUAAAUCGACCGCCUGGGAAGUACGACCGCAAGGUUAAAACUCAAAGGAAUUGACGGGGACCUGAACAAGCGGUGAAUGAUGUGGAUUAAUUCGAUGCUACGCGAAGAACCUUACCUACCUUUGACAUGGCCAAAGUUCUACCGAGAGGCGGAAGUACUCGUAAGGGGAUUGGCGCACAGGUGCUGCAUGGUUGUCGUCAGUUCGUGUCGUGAGAUGUUGGGUUCAGUCCCGCAACGAACGCAACCCUUAUCUUUAAUUGCUCCUAUUUUAACAGGCACUUUAAAGAAACUGCCAAUGAUAAGUUGGAGGAAGGUGGGGAUCACGUCAAGUCCGCAUGGCCUUUAUAGGUAGGGCUUCACACGUCAUACAAUGGUUAGAACAAAGAGCUGCAAAUUCGUAAGAAGGAGCCAAUCUCACAAACCUAACCUCAGUUCGAAUUGCGGUCUGCAACUCGAGCGCAUGAAGCCGGAAUCGCUAGUAAUCGUGGAUCAGAAUGCCA
This 690-nucleotide ribosomal RNA is filed under the name uncultured Candidatus Tremblayella sp. RNAcentral describes it as "bacterial SSU rRNA". It matches the Rfam family "Bacterial small subunit ribosomal RNA", at positions 674 to 1359 of the family's 1533-position model. Lineage: Bacteria; Pseudomonadati; Pseudomonadota; Betaproteobacteria. The record is from RNAcentral.